GGAUGAGGUGUGGGUAGGGGUGAAAUGCCAAUCGAACCUGGAGAUAGCUGGUUCUCUCCGAAAUAGCUUUAGGGCUAGCCUCAAGGUAAGAGUCUCGGAGGUAGAGCACUGAUUGGACUAGGGGCCCUACCGGGUUACCGAAUUCAGUCAAACUCCGAAUGCCGAUGACUUAUCCUUGGGAGUCAGACUGCGAGUGAUAAGAUCCGUAGUCGAAAGGGAAACAGCCCAGACCGCCAGCUAAGGUCCCAAAG
RNAcentral lists this ribosomal RNA (251 nucleotides) under Bacillus amyloliquefaciens. Its description in RNAcentral is "partial 23S ribosomal RNA". It matches the Rfam family "Bacterial large subunit ribosomal RNA", at positions 802 to 1052 of the family's 2925-position model. The record is from RNAcentral. Lineage: Bacteria; Bacillati; Bacillota; Bacilli; Caryophanales; Bacillaceae.